GUCGAGCGGACAGAAGGGAGCUUGCUCCCGGAUGUUAGCGGCGGACGGGUGAGUAACACGUGGGUAACCUGCCUGUAAGACUGGGAUAACUCCGGGAAACCGGAGCUAAUACCGGAUAGUUCCUUGAACCGCAUGGUUCAAGGAUGAAAGACGGUUUCGGCUGUCACUUACAGAUGGACCCGCGGCGCAUUAGCUAGUUGGUGAGGUAACGGCUCACCAAGGCGACGAUGCGUAGCCGACCUGAGAGGGUGAUCGGCCACACUGGGACUGAGACACGGCCCAGACUCCUACGGGAGGCAGCAGUAGGGAAUCUUCCGCAAUGGACGAAAGUCUGACGGAGCAACGCCGCGUGAGUGAUGAAGGUUUUCGGAUCGUAAAGCUCUGUUGUUAGGGAAGAACAAGUGCAAGAGUAACUGCUUGCACCUUGACGGUACCUAACCAGAAAGCCACGGCUAACUACGUGCCAGCAGCCGCGGUAAUACGUAGGUGGCAAGCGUUGUCCGGAAUUAUUGGGCGUAAAGGGCUCGCAGGCGGUUUCUUAAGUCUGAUGUGAAAGCCCCCGGCUCAACCGGGGAGGGUCAUUGGAAACUGGGAAACUUGAGUGCAGAAGAGGAGAGUGGAAUUCCACGUGUAGCGGUGAAAUGCGUAGAGAUGUGGAGGAACACCAGUGGCGAAGGCGACUCUCUGGUCUGUAACUGACGCUGAGGAGCGAAAGCGUGGGGAGCGAACAGGAUUAGAUACCCUGGUAGUCCACGCCGUAAACGAUGAGUGCUAAGUGUUACGGGGUUUCCGCCCCUUAGUGCUGCAGCUAACGCAUUAAGCACUCCGCCUGGGGAGUACGGUCGCAAGACUGAAACUCAAAGGAAUUGACGGGGGCCCGCACAAGCGGUGGAGCAUGUGGUUUAAUUCGAAGCAACGCGAAGAACCUUACCAGGUCUUGACAUCCUCUGACAACCCUAGAGAUAGGGCUUUCCCUUCGGGGACAGAGUGACAGGUGGUGCAUGGUUGUCGUCAGCUCGUGUCGUGAGAUGUUGGGUUAAGUCCCGCAACGAGCGCAACCCUUGAUCUUAGUUGCCAGCAUUCAGUUGGGCACUCUAAGGUGACUGCCGGUGACAAACCGGAGGAAGGUGGGGAUGACGUCAAAUCAUCAUGCCCCUUAUGACCUGGGCUACACACGUGCUACAAUGGACAGAACAAAGGGCUGCGAGACCGCAAGGUUUAGCCAAUCCCACAAAUCUGUUCUCAGUUCGGAUCGCAGUCUGCAACUCGACUGCGUGAAGCUGGAAUCGCUAGUAAUCGCG
RNAcentral lists this ribosomal RNA (1301 nucleotides) under Bacillus sp. TPBLGL 27. RNAcentral's name for it is "bacterial SSU rRNA". It matches the Rfam family "Bacterial small subunit ribosomal RNA", at positions 61 to 1346 of the family's 1533-position model. Lineage: Bacteria; Bacillati; Bacillota; Bacilli; Caryophanales; Bacillaceae. The record is from RNAcentral.